RNAcentral lists this ribosomal RNA (779 nucleotides) under uncultured Acidobacteriota bacterium. Its description in RNAcentral is "bacterial SSU rRNA". It matches the Rfam family "Bacterial small subunit ribosomal RNA", at positions 15 to 774 of the family's 1533-position model. Lineage: Bacteria; Pseudomonadati; Acidobacteriota. The record is from RNAcentral.
GAUCCUGGCUCAGAAUCAACGCUGGCGGCGUGCCUAACACAUGCAAGUCGCGCGCGAAAGGGGGGCAACCCCCCCAAGUUAAAACGGCGAACGGGUGAGUAACGCGUGGGUGAUCUGCCUCUGAGUGGGGAAUAACACCGGGAAACUGGUGCUAAUACCGCAUGACAUCCUCGGGUCGUACCGAGGAUCAAAGCCGGGGACCGCAAGGCCUGGCGCUUGGAGAUGAGCCCGCGUCCGAUUAGCUAGUUGGCGGGGUAAUGGCCCACCAAGGCUCCGAUCGGUAGCCGGCCUGAGAGGGCGGACGGCCACACUGGGACUGAGACACGGCCCAGACUCCUACGGGAGGCAGCAGUGGGGAAUUUUUCGCAAUGGGGGAAACCCUGACGAAGCAACGCCGCGUGGAGGAUGAAGGCCUUCGGGUCGUAAACUCCUGUCGACUGGGAAGAAUGCACACGACCCAAUACGUCGCUGUGUUGACUGUACCGGUGGAGGAAGCCACGGCUAACUCUGUGCCAGCAGCCGCGGUAAUACAGAGGUGGCAAGCGUUGUUCGGAAUUACUGGGCGUAAAGGGCGCGUAGGCGGUUCGUCAAGUCCCGUGUGAAAUCCCUCGGCUCAACCGAGGAACUGCGCGGGAAACUAGUGAGCUUGAGUUCGGGAGAGGGAAGCGGAAUUCCGGGUGUAGCGGUGAAAUGCGCAGAUAUCCGGAGGAACACCGGUGGCGAAGGCGGCUUCCUGGACCGACACUGACGCUGAGGCGCGAAAGCUAGGGGAGCAAACG